AUUAAGCCAUGCAUGUCUAAGUACUAGCCGCCUUAUAAAAUGGUGAAACCGCGAAAAGCUCAUUAAAUCGGCUUUGGUUUAUUAGACAGUUUACAAAUUGAGUGAUUUUUGGCGUUUUGCGCGUCACAAAAUCCGAAAUUGUUAAUGGAUAACUGUGGUAAUUCUAGAGCUAAUACAUGAAAAACGUAUGUGCAAAACGCCGAUUGUUGUUGUCGUCGAUUGCAAGAUUGACGUUCUGGUGGCAAUCGGAGCGGUUUUGCACGCUUUUAUUAGAGGAAAAAGCCUUUCGAUUGGUUGUGCAUGUGUGCCUUGUGUGCGCGUGUGCAAUCAUAGAAACGAAGGUGAUGAAUCUGAAUAACUUGAACGGAUUCUUCGUGAAGGGAAUGAUUGCAAAAUUGUUUCUGGUAGCGGAGGAUUUAAAGCAGACCGCAAAUUAAUCGUCGUAGUCAUACGCGUCAUCGUAUCCGGGCAGUAUUCUGUUCGAUUGCGGUGGCCGACUGCGAUGAGGUUGCGGCGUGUCUUUCAAUUGUCUGCCUUAUCAACUUUCGAUGGUAGGUUACAUGCCUACCAUGGUUGUAACGGGUAACGGGGAAUCAGGGUUCGAUUCCGGAGAGGGAGCCUGAGAAACGGCUACCACAUCUAAGGAAGGCAGCAGGCACGCAAAUUACCCACUCCCGGCACGGGGAGGUAGUGACGAUAAAUAACGAUCCGGAGCUCUGAUGAGUUUCCGAAAUCGGAAUGAGUACAAUUUAAAUCCUUUAACGAGGAGCUAAUGGAGGGCAAGUCUGGUGCCAGCAGCCGCGGUAAUUCCAGCUCCAUUAGCAUAUAUUAAAGUUGUUGCGUUUAAAAAGCUCGUAGUUAAAUUUGUGUCCUAUGCUGUCAGUCGCUCGCAAUUUAAUUUGCGCAGUUUGAUUUGGCACGCAUGGGAUGUCAUGCUGGUGGCGUAUCGUGACCGGCGGUGCACGCACACAACCUAAUGUGUUGUUGCCGUCGUCGUGUCCGGCCAACACCGAUUUCGUUGCGUCCGAAACGUCGUAUGCCGUUGAUAUUCGCCGCCGCGUUCUUAACGGACGUCGUGUGUGCGUGUGUCUCGCGUGUACGAUCGUUGUUUUCGGUCGCGGUGCGAUUUCGUGUUCUGGUAUUCGGUUCGUAUGCGUGCGGUGCAAACGAUGCUUUCCGGUAAAACAGUGACUCGUUUCAAUCGCAAACUUGUCGCUCGGAGAGCUUUCUGUUUCCCGUCUGCGCGUCGAACUUCAAAAACAUACCGGACCAGUGAGUUUACUUUGAACAAAUUAGAGUGCUUAAAGCAGGCAAAUUUGAAUGCCUUGAAUAUAAGUGCAUGGAAUAAUAGAAUAUGAUUUCGAUACCGUUUCAAGGCUUUUGUGCAUUGGUAAUCGGGCGUCGCGGUAGAGGUCGAUGUUUGGUGCUGUCGUUUUCUAAACGUCGCAUCGUCAAAACUCGGUCGCACUAUCGAUCGCCGCCUCUUGUCUCUGCAAGAAAAACGAUCCAAUGSGCGCGGAAUAUCGAAAUAAUGAUCAAUAGAGACGGAUGGGGGCAUUCGUACUACGACGUUAGAGGUGAAAUUCUUGGAUCGUCGUAAGACGAACGGAGGCGAAAGCGUUUGUCAAAAACGUUUUCAUUGAUCAAGAACGAAAGUUAGAGGUUCGAAGGCGAUCAGAUACCGCCCUAGUUCUAACCAUAAACGAUGCCAACUAGCGAUCCGCCGAUGUUCAUUCGAUUGACUCGGCGGGCAGCUUCCGGGAAACCAAAGUUUUUGGGUUCCGGGGGAAGUAUGGUUGCAAAGCUGAAACUUAAAGGAAUUGACGGAAGGGCACCACCAGGAGUGGAGCUUGCGGCUUAAUUUGACUCAACACGGGAAAUCUCACCAGGCCCGGACACCGAAAGGAUUGACAGAUUGAUAGCUCUUUCUUGAUUCGGUGGGUGGUGGUGCAUGGCCGUUCUUAGUUGGUGGAGUGAUUUGUCUGGUUAAUUCCGAUAACGAACGAGACUCUGGCCUGCUAACUAGACGUAAACGUGCUGUCGGUUCGUUUGGCGUGUUCGUGUGCCGUGCUGCCGCGCGUUCGCGUAACACGCGUACGUUGUGCUUCGGCAUGGCGUGCGUGGUGACACGAGCAUCUGUGGUCGCGGUACGCGGGUGCGUUCAAGUGUCCGGUGGCCGUUAGAACCGAUAUUUUGAAGCCGUUUGUGCACGAGAGGAUGCAUUGGUCGCUAUUGCUCUUGCCGUUUGGAGUGUUGCUUGCGCAUAUGCUCAAUGUGUGUGUGCGCAUUGCUUGUGGGCGGUUGCUGUUUUCGGAUGGCGCUGUUCAUAAGUGUGUGUUGCCUUUGCGCGUGUGUGUGUGCGGUGUUUUGACGGUAAGUCGGCGAUAGUGUUUCGAUGUGUCCGCUUCUCGUGUGCAACAUUCCGCUAUCGGCGUAUUGAAAAAUCUCUUCUUAGAGGGACAGGUGGAUAAAAAGCCACACGAGAAGGAGCAAUAACAGGUCUGUGAUGCCCUUAGAUGUCCUGGGCUGCACGCGUGCUACACUGAAAAAAUCAGCGUGUUUUUUCUAUUCCGACAGGAACGGAUAAACCGUUGAAAAUUUUUCGUGAUAGGGAUCGGAGAUUGAAAUUAUUCUCCGUGAACGAGGAAUUCCCAGUAAGCGCGAGUCAUAAGCUCGCGUUGAUUACGUCCCUGCCCUUUGUACACACCGCCCGUCGCUACUACCGAUUGAAUGAUUUAGUGAGGUCUUCGGACUGUCUCGCGACAAACGUUUCRGCGUUUUCGUUGUUCUGAUAGAAAGAUGACCGAACUUGAUC
RNAcentral lists this ribosomal RNA (2815 nucleotides) under Mengenilla sp. DDM-2010. Its description in RNAcentral is "SSU rRNA". The stretch from base 436 to 2815 matches the Rfam family "Eukaryotic small subunit ribosomal RNA". The record is from RNAcentral. Lineage: Eukaryota; Metazoa; Arthropoda; Insecta; Strepsiptera; Mengenillidae.